AAGUUAACCAGAUAGCUCAGGAGACCCAUUGGAGUCAAUAGAAACGUGUUAGCAUUUUAGCUAAUUAGCAUGCUAAGCUAAUUAGCAUAAAUCAACCAGCACAGGCACGGUCAACUUCAGAGCUGUACACGUCGGGAACGGGAGUGAAUAUCAAAAAUCUGUUCAGUCAUUUCUGUCAGGCCCGGUCUGAAGUUCAUCUGAUAAAAUUUUGAACAAAAUUGAACAAGAUUUCAGGGAGGAGUAGCGAAAAAACUGUAUUUCAUUCCAUUCAAUAUGGCGGACAGACGCCAUAUUGGAAAAUGGCAAAUGAGACAUCAUCUGAUUUGGCAUAACCCACGGAAUCAAAUGACAUAAAAAUAUCAAAAAUCGAUCAAAAUUUACAGUAGUUAUAAGGGGUUUUGCAAGAAUCAUUAUAUCUCUUGAACACUAGGUGGCGCUGUCUUCUAACUUCCGGGGUACCUCAGGCACAUGUUGUUGAUGAUGCCUAUCGAUUUUUGUGAAGAUAUGUACAGUAGAUCAAAAGAUAUAGCAAUUUUUGACAAAUUUCAAAAUGGCGGACGGGUGGUCCUGGUGGUCUCGACAAAAUUGACAUCCACAGAUCCGGAAUGAUCUAAAUAAUCCAUAGACAUCAAGAAAAUAAUUUUCUGAUGAACUGUUCAGAAGUUAUAAGCAAAAAAGUGCAUUUUUGGUAUCUCAACACCCAUAGGUGGCGCUGUUCCCAAAUUUGGCGUGGACCCCCAGAUCAUGGUGUAGAUGAAGUGUACCAAGUUUGGUAUCGAUUGAUCAAAGUUUGGCCAAGAUACAGCAUCUCAACCGAUUUUAGGUCAGCCUCAUUAAGUUCACAAUUGAAUAACUUUUGAACAAAGACGAAAAUCAAAAAUCUGUUCAGUCAUUUCUGUGCGGCUCAGUCCAAAGAUCAUCUGAGACAAAUUUCAGAAGAAUUGGACCAAUUUUGAAGGAGGAGUAGUGUUUAGACUGAAUACUGUACUUUUCAAAAUGGCCGCUACUGUAAUGGGCGGAGUCUUAAUGUAAGAUAUGGAAUGGAAUCUCCAUGAAGAGACAAAAUAGAUGUACUAAGUUUUAUUUUCAUAGAAUUAGUGGUUCAAGAGUUAUUAACGUUUGAAUGUUGAAUUUUUGAACUGGUGGUGGCGCUGUAGAGUUGGUCCUAGAGACCCCAAAGUUGGUCAGAUCACUAAUAAUGGUCAUCUCUACAAGUGUGCCAAAUUUCAUCAUUUUCCCAUGUUCCCUUCAUAGGGCUGCCAUAGACCCAAUGGGACGAAAAGAAGAAUAAUAAUAAUAAAUAUAGCUGCAAGCAGCGAUACCGGGGCCAAGCCCUGAAGGGCUGUAGCCAGAGCAACGAGCGGGACGAAGCAAAAUGGCCAAAACAGAACUUCCAUCGGACCGACGUUACCCACCCCGGAUUCGAUCCCACGACCUCUCGGGUUUGGGACGAGUGCCUUAGCGAAGUGCGCCACAUUAGUUGACACACAGUUCGCAUGGCACAGAAGAGAGGUUAAGGUGUGAGAAUUAAAUCUCAAAAGCCCAAAUCAGCAUUUUAGCCAGAUUAGCAUGCUACGCUAAAAAAUGCUAACGUUGCUCAAAGUUAACCAGAUAGCUCAGGAGACCCAUUAGAGUCAAUAGAAACGUGUUAGCAUUUUAGCUAAUUAGCAUGCUAAGCUAACUAGCAUAAAUCAACCAGCACAGGCACGGUCAACUUCAGAGCUGUACAUAUCGGGAACGUGAGUGAAUAUCAAAAAUCUGUUCAGUCAUUUCUGUCAGGCCCGGUCUGAAGUUCAUCUGAUAAAAUUUUGAACAAAAUUGAACAAGAUUUCAGGGAGGAGUAGCGAAAAAACUGUAUUUAAAUCCAUUCAAUAUGGCGGACAGACGCCAUAUUGGAAAAUGGCAAAUGAGACAUCAUCUGAUUCGGCAUAACCCACGGAAUCAAAUGACAUAAAAAUAUCAAAAAUCGAUCAAAAUUUACAGUAGUUAUAAGGGGUUUUGCAAGAAUCGUUAUAUCUCUUGAACACUAGGUGGCGCUGUCUUCUAACUUCCGGGGUACCUCAGGCACAUGUUGUUGAUGAUGCCUAUCGAUUUUUGUGAAGAUAUGUACAAUAGAUCAAAAGAUAUAGCAAUUUAUGACAAAAUUCAAAAUGGCGGACGGGUGGUCCUGGUGGUCUCGACAAAAUUGACAUCCACAGAUCCGGAAUGAUCUAAAGAAUCCAUAGACAUCAAGAUCAUAAUUUUCUGAUGAAUUGUUCAGAAGUUAUAAGCAAAAAAGUGCAUUUUUGGUAUCUCGACACCCAUAGGUGGCGCUAUUCCCAAAUUCGGCAUGGACCCCCAGAUCAUGGUGUAGAUGAAGUGUACCGAGUUUGGUUUCGAUUGAUCAAAGUUUGGCCGAGAUACAGCAUCUCAACCGAUUUUAGGUCAGCCUCAUUAAGUUCACAAUUGAAUAACUUUUGAACAAAGACGAAAAUCAAAAAUCUGUUCAGUCAUUUCUGUGCGGCUCAGUCCAAAGAACAUCUGAGCCAAAUUUCAGAAGAAUUGGACCAAUUUUGAAGGAGGAGUAGUGUUUAGACUGAAUACUGUACUUUUCAAAAUGGCCGCCACUGUAAUGGGCGGAGUCUUAAUGUAAGAUAUGGAAUGGAAUCUCCAUGAAGAGACAAAAUAGAUGUACUAAGUUUUAUUUUCAUAGAAUUAGUGGUUCAAGAGUUAUUAACGUUUGAAUGUUGAUUUUUUGAGCUGGUGGUGGCGCUAUAGAGUUUGGCCUAGAGACCCCAAAGUUGGUCAGAUCACUUAUAAUGACCAGUUCUAAAAGUGUGCCAAAUUUUAUCAUUUUCCCAUGUUCCCUUCAUAGGGCUGCCAUAGACUCCCAUUGGACGAGAAGAAGAAGAAGAAGAAGAAGAAGAAGAAUAAUAAUAAUAAUAAAACAUACAGAUACAAUAGGGGCUACAGCCCUCUGGGCUUGGCCCCUAAUAAAACAUACAGAUACAAUAGGGGCUACAGCCCUCUGGGCUUGGCCCCUAAUAAAACAUACAGAUACAAUAGGGGCUACAGCCCUCUGGGCUUGGCCCCUAAUAAUAAUAAAUAUAGCUGCAAGCAGCGAUACCGGGGCCAAGCCCUGAAGGGCUGUAGCCAGAGCAACGAGCGGGACGAAGCAAAAUGGCCAAAACAGAACUUCCAUCGGACCGACGUUACCCACCCCGGAUUCGAUCCCACGACCUCUCGGGUUUGGGACGAGUGCCUUAGCGAAGUGCGCCACAUUAGUUGACACACAGUUCGCAUGGCACAGAAGAGAGGUUAAGGUGUGAGAAUUAAAUCUCAAAAGCCCAAAUCAGCAUUUUAGCCAGAUUAGCAUGCUACGCUAAAAAAUGCUAACGUUGCUCAAAGUUAACCAGAUAGCUCAGGAGACCCAUUAGAGUCAAUAGAAACGUGUUAGCAUUUUAGCUAAUUAGCAUGCUAAGCUAACUAGCAUAAAUCAACCAGCACAGGCACGGUCAACUUCAGAGCUGUACAUAUCGGGAACGUGAGUGAAUAUCAAAAAUCUGUUCAGUCAUUUCUGUCAGGCCCGGUCUGAAGUUCAUCUGAUAAAAUUUUGAACAAAAUUGAACAAGAUUUCAGGGAGGAGUAGCGAAAAAACUGUAUUUAAAUCCAUUCAAUAUGGCGGACAGACGCCAUAUUGGAAAAUGGCAAAUGAGACAUCAUCUGAUUCGGCAUAACCCACGGAAUCAAAUGACAUAAAAAUAUCAAAAAUCGAUCAAAAUUUACAGUAGUUAUAAGGGGUUUUGCAAGAAUCGUUAUAUCUCUUGAACACUAGGUGGCGCUGUCUUCUAACUUCCGGGGUACCUCAGGCACAUGUUGUUGAUGAUGCCUAUCGAUUUUUGUGAAGAUAUGUACAAUAGAUCAAAAGAUAUAGCAAUUUAUGACAAAAUUCAAAAUGGCGGACGGGUGGUCCUGGUGGUCUCGACAAAAUUGACAUCCACAGAUCCGGAAUGAUCUAAAGAAUCCAUAGACAUCAAGAUCAUAAUUUUCUGAUGAAUUGUUCAGAAGUUAUAAGCAAAAAAGUGCAUUUUUGGUAUCUCGACACCCAUAGGUGGCGCUAUUCCCAAAUUCGGCAUGGACCCCCAGAUCAUGGUGUAGAUGAAGUGUACCGAGUUUGGUUUCGAUUGAUCAAAGUUUGGCCGAGAUACAGCAUCUCAACCGAUUUUAGGUCAGCCUCAGUAAGUUCACAGCAUCAUAACUUUUUUUUUCACUAGUGUUCAAAAAAUUCUGUUCAGUCAUUUCUGUGCGGCUCAGUCCAAAGAACAUCUGAGCCAAAUUUCAGAAGAAUUGGACCAAUUUUGAAGGAGGAGUAGUGUUUAGACUGAAUACUGUACUUUUCAAAAUGGCCGCCACUGUAAUGGGCGGAGUCUUAAUGUAAGAUAUGGAAUGGAAUCUCCAUGAAGAGACAAAAUAGAUGUACUAAGUUUUAUUUUCAUAGAAUUAGUGGUUCAAGAGUUAUUAACGUUUGAAUGUUGAAUUUUUGGACUGCUGGUGGCGCUAUAGAGUUUGGCCUAGAGACCCCAAAGUUGGUCAGAUCUCUAAUAAUGACCAGUUCUACAAGUGUGCCAAAUUUCAUCAUUUUCCCAUGUUUCCUUCAUAGGGCUGCCAUAGACUCCCAUUGGAGAGGAAGAAGAAGAAGAAUAAUAAUAAUAAUAAUAAAACAUACAGAUACAAUAGGGGCUACAGCCCUCUGGGCUUGGCCCCUAAUAAUUAAAGCUGCAAGCAGCCUUUCUGGGGCCAAGCCCUUAUUGCUCUUUGGCUUUUAAGGUUUUUUCAAGCAACUUUUUCAGCACUUUUUACAGAACAGAUAGAUUCAGAAUUACAGAUAAGGUGAAAUCAGAAGGUCUGAUGAGAACGAACGCAGAAUGAAGUUACAAAAACACACUUAUUUUUGAUCCCAUUUUAAGAAACUUUAGUACAGCUCUUAACCAUGUAAUAAAGGAAUUGAAAUGACAACUUUAUACCCAAUUUUAAAUUUUUCCCAUACAGGUUUCGAACCCACAACCUCACAGGUUCAGAACCAACGCCUUAGCUAAGUGCGCCACAUUAGUUGACACACAAUUUACAUGGCACAGAAGAGAGGUCAAGGUGUGAGAAUGAUCUCUCACAAGCCCGAAGUAGCAUUUUAGCCAGAUUAGCAUGCUACGCUAAAAAAUGCUAACAUUGUCAAAGUUAACCAGAUUGCUCAAGAGACCCAUUAGAGUGAAUAGAAAAGUGUUAGCAUUUUAGUUAAUUAGCAUGCUAAGCUAAUUAGCAUAAAUCAACAAACACAGGCACGGUCAACUUCGGAGCUGUACAUCUCUGGAACGGGAACGAAUAUCAAAAAUCCGUUCUGUCAUUUCUGUCAGGCCCGUUCUGAAGUUCAUCUGAUAAAACUUUUAACAAAAUUGAACAAGAUUUCAGGGAGGAGUAGUGAAAAAACUGUAUUUCAUUCCAUUCAAUAUGGCGGACAGACGCCAUGUUGGAAAAUGACAAUUGAGACAUCCUCAGAAUCGGCAUAACCAAAGGAAUAAAAUGACAUAAAAAUAACAAAAAUCGAUCAACAUUUACAGUAGUUAUAAGGGGUUUUGCAAGAAUCGUUAUAUCUCUUGAACACUAGGUGGCGAUGUCUUCCAACUUCCGGGGUACUUCCGGCACAUGGUGUUG
Molecule: long non-coding RNA, 5685 nt
Organism: Carassius gibelio (silver crucian carp)
Lineage: Eukaryota; Metazoa; Chordata; Actinopteri; Cypriniformes; Cyprinidae
Exons: 3
Source: RefSeq, a predicted model, not a curated record